Molecule: long non-coding RNA, 1227 nt
Organism: Passer domesticus (house sparrow)
Lineage: Eukaryota; Metazoa; Chordata; Aves; Passeriformes; Passeridae
Exons: 3
Source: RefSeq, a predicted model, not a curated record
UCCAACUUACAUACCUCUAUGGCGAUGCAUUGCAUGGCAAAUCAGCAAGAAGUGUUUGGAACUGUGUGCAUGUCUGCAGGGCUGUGAUCUUAUUGGCAUCACAGAGAUGUGUUGGAAUGGUGCCUAUGACUGGAGUUUUGGAAUGGAAAGAUACAAGCAGAAAGGGAAGAUAAGUGAGAAGAGGGUGUGUCACCCUGUGUCAGUGACCAACUGUGAUGCAUGGAACUCUUCCAUGGAUCUCUUAGAAGAUGAGCCAGUUAAGAGUUUAUGGGUCAGGAUUGUAGGGAGAGAAGGGAUAGGCCGUAUUACAGUGGGGGCCUUCUACAGGCUGCCUGUUCAGGAAGAAUAAGCAAAUGACUCUUUCCAUAGAGAGAGGAGCAGCCUCACAUUCCCAAGUCCUGAUCCUCAUGGGGGACUUCAGCCAACUAAAUAUCUGCUGGAGGGACAACACAGGGCACAAGCAGACCAGAAAAAUCCUGGAAUGUUUUGAUGAUGACUCCCUUCUCCAAAUGAUAGACAACCCAGUGAUGAGAGGUUCUCACCAACAAGGAGGGUCUGGUGGGAAAUGCAGAGCUCAAGGAGCAGCCUGGGCUGUAGUGGUCAGGAAAUGGCAGAGUUUAAAACCCUUAUGGCAGUGAAGAGGGUGCACAGCAUGAACUCCAGGAGAGCAGAAUUGGACCUCUUCAGGGAUCUACUUGACUUGAGACCAAUGCGGCAGCCCUCAAAGUCAGCUCCUACUUUUCCUGCCAAAAGAGAGUUAAAUUCUGAAUCCAAAGGAACUUGAGAUAAGAAAAAGCAGUGAAAUAGAUCUUUGAAUAAGAUGCCAUCAAAAUCAAGGGAGGCUGAAUUGGAACUUCAGAGAGCUUUGAAUCAAGAUCUUUAGGCUACAGUGGCAUCUCAUAAUUGACUUGAGAUGGAAUCUGCUUUGCUUCACCACCUGAUGGCCAGGCCAGACAGUCAAGAUGACUCCUCAGGAAGGUGGAAAUAGAGAAGAGCUCCUUUUCCCAUGCUGUAAACAAUCUAGAGUGCAAGAGCUAUAUAUUAGGAUAUUUCUGGGUCUGCAUUAAUAAGCCCUACUUCCACAGAGGACUCUAAGGACCUUGAACUCCAAACCAUUUUUAAAAUACAAGAGGAAAUACUGGGUGUGAUAUCUGUUCAACUGACAGUUGGUCUGGGAUCUUCACCCUGGAGAAAGAGGGUGAAACCAACCUGUGGAAAAAGGUUUGU